This 232-nucleotide ribosomal RNA is filed under the name uncultured bacterium. RNAcentral describes it as "partial 16S ribosomal RNA". It matches the Rfam family "Bacterial small subunit ribosomal RNA", at positions 100 to 334 of the family's 1533-position model. The record is from RNAcentral.
CGGGACGGGUGAGUAAUGUCUGGGAAACUGCCUGAUGGAGGGGGAUAACUACUGGAAACGGUAGCUAAUACCGCAUAACGCCGCAAGACCAAAGAGGGGGACCUUCGGGCCUCUUGCCAUCGGAUGUGCCCAGAUGGGAUUAGCUAGUAGGUGGGGUAACGGCUCACCUAGGCGACGAUCCCUAGCUGGUCUGAGAGGAUGCCAGCCACACUGGAACUGAGACACGGUCCAG